UGGGGAAAGGAUUCCCUACUUAAUAAAUGGUGCUGGGAGAGCUGGCUGGUCAUCUGUAGAAAAUUGAAACUGGGCCCCUUCCUUAUACAUUGUACAAAAAUUAUCCCAAGAUAGAUUAAAACCUUAAUUGUAAAACCCAAAACUAUGAAAACCUUAGAAGAAACCUAGAAGAAAAUCUAGGCAAUACCAUUCAGGACAUAGGCAUGGGCAAAGAUUUCAUGACUAAAACAUCAAAGGCAAUUGCAACAAAAGCAAAAUUGACAAAUGGGACCUAACUAAACUAAAGAGCUUCUACACAGCAAAGAAACUAUCAUCAGAGUGAACAGACAACCUACAGAAUGGGAGAAAAUUUUUGCAAUCUAUCCAUCUGAUAAAGGUCUAAUAUCCAGAAUCUACAAGGCACUAAACCAAUUUACAAGAAAAAAAAGCAAACAACCCCAUCAAAAAGUAGGCAAAGGACAUAAACAGACAUUUCUCAAAAGAAUACAUUUAUGUGGCCAACAAACAUAUGAAGAAAAACUCAACAUCACUGAUCAUUAGAGAAAUGCAAAUCAAAACCACAGUGAGAUACCAUCAGACCAAUCAGAAUGGAGAUUAUUAAAAAGUCAAGAAACAACAGAUGCUGGUGAGGCUGUGGAGAAAUAGAAAUGCUUUUACACUGUUAGUGGGAAUGUAAAUUAGUUUAACCAUUAUGGAAGAUAGUGUGGUGAUUCCUCUAAGGCCUAGAACCUGAAAUACCAUUUGACCCAGCAAUCUCAUCAUUGGAUAUAUGCCCAAAGGAAUAGAAACCACUCUAUUAUAAAGAUUCAUGCAUGCUUACAUUUAUUGCAGCACUAUUCACAAUAGCAAAGACAUGGAAUCAACCCAAAUGCCCAUCAGUGAUAGACGGGAUAAAUAAAAUGUGGUACGUCUACAUCAUGGAAUACUAUGCAGCCAUAAAAAGAAAUGAGAUCAUGUCCUUUGCAGGGACAUGGAUGCAGCCAUUAUCCUCAACAAACUAACACAAGAACAGAAAACCAAACACUGAAUGUUCUAACUUGUAAGUGGGAGCUAAACAAUGAGAACACAUGGACACAGGGAGGUGAACAACACACAAGUAGGGUCUGUUAGGGGAGGGGUCAGGGGGAAGGGAGAGCAUCAGGAAGAACAGCUAAUGUAUGCUGGACUUAAUACUUAGGUGAUGGGCUGAUAAGUGCAGCAAACCACCAUUGCACACAUUUACCUAUGCAACAAACCUGCACAUCCUACACAUGUAUCCUGGAACUUAAAAUAAAAUACAGAUUAAUGUGAGUAAAAUGCUUAGCACAGUGCUUGGCAUGUUAGAAAUGCUUGAUAAAUAUUAUUAUUUUUAUAAUUAGUAGGCAAAAUGCUUUAUAAUAACUUCAUUCUAGUUCAGGAGUGCUGUGAAAAUUAUUUAUAAGAAUGAGCUGAUGUUAUUUAACAUACGACCUAUAAAAUAGAGCAGAAGUUCACCUCUGUAAUCUACCUAAAUAUUCACACAGAAGAGCAUUAGCUAAAACAUUUGAACAUGAGUUAGCUGGGAGUUGAGAUGGUGAAUCAUUCUCCCCAGUGAUCUGUAAUGAUCGCUAAGAACCACCUCUAAAGGCUGGAGGCCUAGGGUACUUACAAGACAGGUGGGGAGAUCCUAUACUCAGAAAGAGAGGAUGGAUCCCCACCAGGGUAGAGGGUUUAACACCUGGACCCAAGAGUCACAGCAGUUUACCCAUCAUGACUACAGCCAGAUUCCCUGCCUGUAAACUGAGCAACUGUAGGGCUUUAAAUCAUUCUCUCAACAAGUAUUUAAUGAGCACUUACUAUUUUCCAGUGGGGAUAUGAUAGUUAGCUCAAACCCCUGGGCCCAGUCUUCAUGGAGCUCACAGUCUAUGGGUCCAUCCUUGGAAAACUUCAAGUUAAGCAAGAGCAGUGAGAGUUUCCUAUCCUCCUCCCGUUAAAAUAACUUUUUACCUCCAGGGAAAUGAUCUUUUUACAAAAAUAUGCCCCAACUCUCUGGUUUUGUCUUUAGUUUACUUUUAAAUAAACUUGGAUCAUGGAAUGAAAGAUAAGGAAACUUAAUAGGCUGUUGAAGCGAAAACCCUCAGAAGAGGUUGUUUCAACCAGACUUUCCUUUCUGAUAAAUCACUGGAGCUGCCUAAACUGAAUCCCAUCAAUCCUCUGUUCUCUGCUAGCCCUUUGUCUUAGCCCACUUGGGCUGCUAUAACAGGAAUGGCAUACACUGCGUGGCUUAUAAACAAUAGAAAUUUAUUGCUCACUGUUCUGAGGGCUGGGAAGUCCAAAAUUAAGGCACCUGAAGUUGCUGUGUCUGGUGAGGGCAUGCUUUCUGCUUCAUAGAUCGCACCUUCUAACAAUGUCCUCACAGGGUGGAAGGGGCUAGCUUUUUGGGUUCUCUUAUAAAGGCAAUCAUCUCAUUCACGAGGGUGGAGCCUCAUGACCUAAACCCCUCCCAAAAGCUCUCAUCUUGUAAUACUGUCACAUUGGGGAUCAGGUUUCAACUUAGGAAUUUUGGAGGAACAUAAACAUUCGGAUCAUAACAUCCUUCGUUUCCCACAUUCUUGGCAAUUUCUUCCCUGGCUCAUUGCCAACUGCCCUACUGUCCCUGACUACCUGUGACGGUUAAUUUUAGGUGUCAAUUUGACUGGACUAAAGGAUGCACAGAUAGCUGAUAAAACAUUAAUUCUGGGUGUGUCUGUGAGGGGGUUUCUGGAAGAAAUUAGCGUUUAACUCAGUAGACUGAGUAAAGCAGAUCACCCCCACCAGUGGGAGUGGGCAUCCUGCAAUCCAUUGAGGGCCUAAAUACUAAUAGAAGAAAAAGGCAAAGGAGGGGCGAAUUCACUUUCUCUGUUGGAGCUGGGACAUCCAUCUUCUCCUGCCCUCAGAUAUCAGAACCCCUGGUUCUCAGACCUUUGGACCUGAACUGAAUUAUACCACUGGCUUUUCUAGUUCUCCAGCUUGCAGAGAGCAGAUCAUGAUACUUAGCCUCCAUAAUCACAUAGGAAAAUUCCUAUAAAUAAUAAACGUGUGUGUGUGUGUGUUUGUACGCGUGCGCAUGUGUAUGUGUGUGUAUAUGAUGGUUUCUUUGGAGAAUCCUAUUACUCAAGACUGCCUUUUCUUCAUCAAAUAUGUUGAUGCAGGUAGGAUGAAGUGUCAGCAAAUGAGCAUAUUCUAAUUUACUCUUUCACUUUAAAAAACAAAACCAGAUAAUCAUGGCAAGAAACCCUCCUUGACCCUCUGCAUUUCUGCCUUAUUUCUCUAUUUUCAUCCACAGUCAAAAUUCUCAGGAGUUGUCUGCAUACCCUGUCUUCAGUUUUGCAUGACUCAUUCACCCUUCAACCUCCUCCAACCUGGCUUCUACUCCCUCAGCUCCACCCACGACAUUUGCUGAAGCCAUAAAUUACCUUCAGAAUCAGAGAGCUGGUACCAUUUUAGUAGGUUCGUGGCCUGCCUGAAAACUAUGACCUUGGAGCAUCAUUUACUCAAAAUGCUAAUCCAAAAACAGGACAUCAAAACUAGUCAUCCUUCACCUCAUGGAAAUGAAUACCCCAAGGUUUCCUCUGGUCACUUUCCACACAUCCUCAUUUGGCCCCUGCUCAUGAGCAAGUUGAUUUAGGAGAUGGUGCCUGGCAGUUCCUCCUCUGAUUAUCCAGGGAAGACAGAAAAAGAGGAAAACAGGAGACAAGAAGUAAAGCUUAGAACAGAGAGGUAACCAUUAACCAGUAAGGGCUAAUAGAUGAGUCCAGAGAAAAGAUAACAAAGGAGGCAAGGAGAGCAUGGUAAGCCAUGGUAGGGGUGAGGGAAAGAUAUUGAAGAUUGAACUCCACCAGUGUGGGAUAAUGUUUGUAUGUGGACUGUGUUGUGUCUCAGGUUCAGGUUGUUUAAGCAGCCUAGUGACCCAGAUGGUCCCCUCCUUAGUGUCUGGUUUUGUCAGGUUGUAACUUGGCUUUUUCAGUUCCCUAAUAUCUCACAUUAUCUCCUCUUCCUCCUAGGCCUUAAUCAUGUCUUACUUUUUUACCUCCCAAUUGGUUGAUAUUGAAUUCUUAUUAAAUAAAAAUGUACUCUUUA
Homo sapiens (human) is the source of this 4077-nucleotide long non-coding RNA. RefSeq lists it as uncharacterized. Lineage: Eukaryota; Metazoa; Chordata; Mammalia; Primates; Hominidae. The transcript has 3 exons. The record is from RefSeq and is a predicted model, not a curated record.